Molecule: ribosomal RNA, 454 nt
Filed under: uncultured Petrimonas sp.
Lineage: Bacteria; Pseudomonadati; Bacteroidota; Bacteroidia; Bacteroidales; Dysgonomonadaceae
Description: partial 16S ribosomal RNA
Rfam family: Bacterial small subunit ribosomal RNA
Source: RNAcentral
ACGGGAGGCAGCAGUGAGGAAUAUUGGUCAAUGGACGGAAGUCUGAACCAGCCAAGUCGCGUGAAGGAUGAAGGUAUUAUGUAUUGUAAACUUCUUUAGCAGUGGAGUAAUAAGGGGAUCGCGAUCCCUGAUGCAAGUACACUGAGAAUAAGGAUCGGCUAACUCCGUGCCAGCAGCCGCGGUAAUACGGAGGAUCCGAGCGUUAUCCGGAUUUAUUGGGUUUAAAGGGUGCGCAGGCGGAUCGGUAAGUCAGGGGUGAAAAGUUGGGGCUCAACUCCAAUCGUGCCUUUGAUACUGCCGGACUAGAGUGCGAUAGACGUGGCCGGAAUGUGAUGUGUAGCGGUGAAAUGCUUAGAUAUGUCACAGAACACCGAUCGAGAAGUCAGGUCACGAGCUCGCAACUGACGCUCAGGCACGAAAGCGUGGGGAUCAAACAGGAUUAGAUACCCUGGUA